RNAcentral lists this ribozyme (80 nucleotides) under unclassified sequences. Its description in RNAcentral is "Twister_sister_ribozyme". It matches the Rfam family "Twister_sister_ribozyme". The record is from Rfam by way of RNAcentral.
AACUAGGGCAAGGUACAAUCCCGUGCAAGCCGGGAUCAGGGGUAGGUGCGAUCUACCCCUGCUACGCUCAACCUACGUCU